UGUCUUCAAGGAAUCAAAGAGCUAUCAGGAUCAGACAAAGUUGCUAAGAUAGUUGGCGCUACAGUAGGAGCUGGUGUUUCUGGUUUAAUUAUUGGCGUUUUGGUAGGCAGUGUCGUCAUGUUCCUUAGUCUGAGAAAAUUUGCGCAAGAUAACAGAAACAAUAACUUAAUGCUAUCAGCACUGGAUGAUACAUCACCUGCAGACGGUAAUCUGUGACACUUCUUUGUGUGAACUUAAAUUAAAUUUCUAUAUGGAUAUGAAACUUACGUUGGAGUGAUGCUGUAAUAGAAAGUGGCGCUGGCAUCUGGAGUAAUAGCCUCUCUACAUAUAUUGAUAAGUGAGAAGGUGAAUAUGAAGAUACGUACAAUUCAUCAGAGCUACAAAUAAGAGGCGGAUCCAAGUUUUUAUAGGAAUAUAAGCUUUGACA
Molecule: long non-coding RNA, 427 nt
Organism: Saccostrea cuccullata (small rock oyster)
Lineage: Eukaryota; Metazoa; Mollusca; Bivalvia; Ostreida; Ostreidae
Exons: 3
Source: RefSeq, a predicted model, not a curated record